UACGUAGGGUCCGAGCGUUGUCCGGAAUUACUGGGCGUAAAGCGCGCGCAGGCGGCCCGCGAGGUGUCACGUGAAAGCCCCGGGCUCAACCCGGGAGGGUCGUGGCAAACCGGCGGGCUUGAGGCCGGUAGAGGUGGAUGGAACUCCUGGUGGAGUGGUGAAAUGCGUAGAGAUCAGGAAGAACACCCGUGGCGAAGGCGGCCCACUGGGCCGGUACUGACGCUGAGGCGCGAAGGCGUGGGGAGCGAACAGG
RNAcentral lists this ribosomal RNA (253 nucleotides) under uncultured bacterium. RNAcentral describes it as "partial 16S ribosomal RNA". It matches the Rfam family "Bacterial small subunit ribosomal RNA", at positions 524 to 776 of the family's 1533-position model. The record is from RNAcentral.